GACGAACGCUGGCGGCGUGCCUAAUACAUGCAAGUAGAACGCUGAAGGAGGAGCUUGCUUCUCUGGAUGAGUUGCGAACGGGUGAGUAACGCGUAGGUAACCUGCCUGGUAGCGGGGGAUAACUAUUGGAAACGAUAGCUAAUACCGCAUAAGAGUAGAUGUUGCAUGACAUUUGCUUAAAAGGUGCAAUUGCAUCACUACCAGAUGGACCUGCGUUGUAUUAGCUAGUUGGUGGGGUAACGGCUCACCAAGGCGACGAUACAUAGCCGACCUGAGAGGGUGAUCGGCCACACUGGGACUGAGACACGGCCCAGACUCCUACGGGAGGCAGCAGUAGGGAAUCUUCGGCAAUGGACGGAAGUCUGAACGAGCAACGCCGCGUGAGUGAAGAAGGUUUUCGGAUCGUAAAGCUCUGUUGUAAGAGAAGAACGAGUGUGAGAGUGGAAAGUUCACACUGUGACGGUAUCUUACCAGAAAGGGACGGCUAACUACGUG
This 495-nucleotide ribosomal RNA is filed under the name uncultured bacterium. Its description in RNAcentral is "partial 16S ribosomal RNA". It matches the Rfam family "Bacterial small subunit ribosomal RNA", at positions 28 to 507 of the family's 1533-position model. The record is from RNAcentral.